GUAUGGAACUCUAAAUAACAGAAAGCUUCUCUAGGCCUUCAGAGAAAUGUUCUGUCCUGGAUACAGUUUGGACCCUACAGUGGUAAACGGAGGAUGGAUGAAUGUGAACAAGAGGUGGAGCAUAAAGAACCGGAGCGGAGGAGGUGUCAGCCGCGAGGGGUCUUGCAUUUGAGAAAGUGAGACGAGUUCCACAGCGGCACACAUGCACCCUGGGGGCUACGAGGAGCAGGAGCGCCCGGGUAAAGAGCUGCAUUUUGUGAGGUUCCCUCAGGAUCUAGAUGUACAUCAUCCCACUUCGGACAAGUCAUUUUCUGCGGUGCAAAC
Capra hircus (goat) is the source of this 324-nucleotide long non-coding RNA. RefSeq lists it as uncharacterized. NCBI's taxonomy places the organism in Eukaryota, Metazoa, Chordata, Mammalia, Artiodactyla, Bovidae. The record is from RefSeq and is a predicted model, not a curated record. The transcript is spliced from 3 exons.